Spinacia oleracea (spinach) is the source of this 70-nucleotide non-coding RNA. The record is from Rfam. NCBI's taxonomy places the organism in Eukaryota, Viridiplantae, Streptophyta, Magnoliopsida, Caryophyllales, Amaranthaceae.
UGCCUAUUAGCUCAAUUGGUAGAGCUUUGUGCAAUGCACAAUGAUGUAGGUUCGAAUCCUACAUAGGUCA